GACGAAGGGGGCAAGCGUUGUUCGGAAUUACUGGGCGUAAAGGGCGCGUAGGCGGUUCUUUAAGUCAGGCGUGAAGGCCCUGGGCUCAACCUGGGAGUGGCGCUUGAUACUGGAGGACUAGAGAGUGGGAGAGGUUGGUGGAAUUCCCAGUGUAGAGGUGAAAUUCGUAGAUAUUGGGAAGAACACCGGUGGCGAAGGCGGCCAACUGGACCAUUUCUGACGCUGAGGCGCGAAAGCGUGGGGAGCAAACAGG
RNAcentral lists this ribosomal RNA (253 nucleotides) under uncultured bacterium. RNAcentral's name for it is "partial 16S ribosomal RNA". It matches the Rfam family "Bacterial small subunit ribosomal RNA", at positions 524 to 776 of the family's 1533-position model. The record is from RNAcentral.